This 104-nucleotide small nucleolar RNA is filed under the name Gossypium hirsutum (cotton). RNAcentral's name for it is "Plant small nucleolar RNA R71". It matches the Rfam family "Plant small nucleolar RNA R71". From Rfam's summary of the family: R71 is a member of the C/D box family of snoRNAs containing the C (UGAUGA) and D (CUGA) box motifs. Multiple nearly identical copies of this snoRNA have been identified in Arabidopsis, and it is thought to function as a 2'-O-ribose methylation guide for 18S ribosomal RNA. The record is from Rfam by way of RNAcentral. Lineage: Eukaryota; Viridiplantae; Streptophyta; Magnoliopsida; Malvales; Malvaceae. RNAcentral also lists the same sequence under 1 other name.
AGACCAUGGUGAGGGCAUCUUUGUACUAGCAACUUGAAUUUCUCCCAAGCUUUGUGAAAGCUUUCCCUUUCUAAUUGCUUAAACAUGGAAAUCUCUCUCAUUAU